AGCAGCCGCCGCGGGAAUACGUAGGUGGCAAGCGUUGUCCGGAAUUAUUGGGCGUAAAGGGCUCGCAGGCGGUUUCUUAAGUCUGAUGUGAAAGCCCCCGGCUCAACCGGGGAGGGUCAUUGGAAACUGGGAAACUUGAGUGCAGAAGAGGAGAGUGGAAUUCCACGUGUAGCGGUGAAAUGCGUAGAGAUGUGGAGGAACACCAGUGGCGAAGGCGACUCUCUGGUCUGUAACUGACGCUGAGGAGCGAAAGCGUGGGGAGCGAACAGGAUUAGAUACCCCUGUAGUCCCUGUCUCUUAUAC
RNAcentral lists this ribosomal RNA (303 nucleotides) under uncultured bacterium. RNAcentral describes it as "partial 16S ribosomal RNA". It matches the Rfam family "Bacterial small subunit ribosomal RNA", at positions 507 to 807 of the family's 1533-position model. The record is from RNAcentral.